RNAcentral lists this ribosomal RNA (478 nucleotides) under uncultured bacterium. RNAcentral describes it as "partial 16S ribosomal RNA". It matches the Rfam family "Bacterial small subunit ribosomal RNA", at positions 28 to 507 of the family's 1533-position model. The record is from RNAcentral.
GAUGAACGCUGGCGGCGUGCUUAACACAUGCAAGUCGAACGAGAAGUGAAGACGGAAACCUUCGGGCGGAAGGCUUUAUUUCGAGUGGCGGACGGGUGAGUAACGCGUGGGUAACCUGCCUCGUACAGGGGGAUAACAGUUGGAAACGACUGUUAAUACCGCAUAAGACCACAGCACCGCAUGGUGCGGGGGUAAAAACUCCGGUGGUAUGAGAUGGACCCGCGUUCGAUUAGCCAGUUGGCGGGGUAACGGCCCACCAAAGCGACGAUCGAUAGCCGAUCUGAGAGGAUGACCGGCCACAUUGGGACUGAGACACGGCCCAAACUCCUACGGGAGGCAGCAGUGGGGAAUAUUGCACAAUGGGGGAAACCCUGAUGCAGCGACGCCGCGUGAGUGAAGAAGUAUUUCGGUAUGUAAAGCUCUAUCAGCAGGGAAGAAAAUGACGGUACCUGAGUAAGAAGCCCCGGCUAACUACGUG